CUGUGCUAGUUGUUUCGGGGCCUCUGAUAUUUACGCAAAUUCCAGACAAACACUGUUUAGAAGUGCUGAAACCCUGAAUCUGUGGUAGUAGGCAUAACGAGCAGGAAGACUUUGAUCCUGAAUAGCUGCUGGAGAUUGUCCACCAGAGAUCUGUUGUUUACAGCAUUACUUGUUCAGGAUUUCCUUUUAAGAUGUUUCCCCUUUGGAAAUUCCUAGCUCUUGCUGCCUCAGAUAAAACCUUCCAGGGAAAAAGCUAAGAAAAUGGUG
This 267-nucleotide long non-coding RNA is filed under the name Cavia porcellus (domestic guinea pig). RNAcentral describes it as "lncRNA (ENSCPOG00000040252.1)". Lineage: Eukaryota; Metazoa; Chordata; Mammalia; Rodentia; Caviidae. The record is from RNAcentral.